Molecule: long non-coding RNA, 1401 nt
Organism: Lolium perenne
Lineage: Eukaryota; Viridiplantae; Streptophyta; Magnoliopsida; Poales; Poaceae
Source: RefSeq, a predicted model, not a curated record
UUAUGGACGAGGGAGUAAGCAAGAUCGCAGAUGGUACCAAGCGCCGACACGCGUCGAGUUUACCACAAAUGACGAUGGCGCCGCGCCACGGUGAAUCCCGGCGACGGCGAGAACCGAUGCCUGAGCGUGACGGCGCCGCUGAAUUUGGGAGGUCUACAGGAGCGCGGUCGCUACCCGUUAAAGGCAAACUAUGCCCUAGACGAACGCGCGCCGUAGAGAGCAAUGUUCUGCCUGCCUCCCUCCCUACGCUACGCUCCGUAGGUAGGUGGCAGCGGAUCCGAUCGCCCGCCGCUGCCACGGCCAAGACGACGGCGACACGCGCCCACUGGAGCUCGGAUUCCCCGCCUAGCCGAUGGAUGGGAUGGACGGACGGACGCGCGCUUGUCAGGGUCUCCAAGUAAUUUCAGCUGCUGGGUGCAGGGCUUUCAUCGUCGAAUCGUGACACACGCUGGAUUUCCAGCUGCUGAGUGCGAGGUUGUCACGGUCGCGAUACCGGCACGCCCUCAGUUUCUAGCCGUUGUAUGCACCUGGAAUUUUGUGGCUGACAAUACCUGUAUCUGCAUUGACAUUUACUUGCACCAUGCUGUUGUCUGCACUUUUUCAGAAGAAAAGCGAAAGGGGAAAGCAAGAGGAUUAUUAUGCUUGGAUUCCCCUAUUCCGUAUGCUUCGAGCGAUUACGCUGGUGAUUCAGAUGAGCAGCAAAAUGACGCAGAAAGAAUGGCGCCUGGAGACGCGAGAAGUUCUCACGGCAUCUCGUGCCACAUAUCUUAAUCGGAUGAUGUUGGCGGCUGGCUGCUAUAGUUCCCGCCGCUGCUUCACAUUGCCUACUAGGAUCCAAGAAUAGCAGAGUUUGUUAUGAAAGCUGACCUCAAAGGGGAAAAAAGGAUGCUGCUGAGGAAUAUUUGGGCUUAUCGGUGAUGUAAACGUGACGGGAUUUAUAAUGGAUAUGUAAUUACCAUGGAGGUAAAGCAGAAGAAGUGCGCGGAAAUUCUUAGAGGUGGAUCCCUGUACUUCUUCUCAAUACACAAAUUUUCAGGUACCUGUUACUGUCAGUUAUCACUGACCUGUACUACAUGCUUGCGUUGAGCAGUUCUCUUUGCUGUACUGUAGUAUCGAUGCCUUCAUCAACAAUGCUCUCCAUGUAUUUUUGAUGCAACUGGACCUUCAAUUGUACCAAGUUGGUUUGAUAUCUGCAUGUGUCACUGUCAACACCUCAGAGAAUCUUCCUUGCUGCAGUAUGCAGAAUUUUGCACUGUAUCUGCCUUGCAAUGAAACGGUACCACUUGUCAUAUCCAGACCUCUUGGGUUUCAGUUCCGGGUUGAACUGCCCUUAACCUAUAUAUGAAAACAUCAAUAAUUCACGGCCAUUAUGUAUUUACAUCUACCACUGGUUUUGAUCUA